GGAGCGAACGCUGGCGGCAGGCUUAACACAUGCAAGUCGAGCGCCCCGCAAGGGGAGCGGCAGACGGGUGAGUAACACGUGGAACGUACCCUUUGGUUCGGAACAACCCAGGGAAACUUGGGCUAAUACCGGAUAAGUCCGUAAGGAGAAAGAUUUAUCGCCAAAGGAUCGGCCCGCGUCUGAUUAGCUAGUUGGUAGGUAAUGGCCUACCAAGGCUACGAUCAGUAGCUGGUCUGAGAGGAUGAUCAGCCACAUUGGGACUGAGACACGGCCCAAACUCCGUACGGAGGCAGCGAGUGGGGAUACGUGACAAGUGGGCGCAAGCCUGACGUCCAGCCCAGUGGCCCGUGUACGAGUGAUGGAAGGUCCGUUUAGGGUACUAAAGUCUUACGUUUUAGGACGGG
This 404-nucleotide ribosomal RNA is filed under the name uncultured soil bacterium. Its description in RNAcentral is "bacterial SSU rRNA". It matches the Rfam family "Bacterial small subunit ribosomal RNA", at positions 27 to 471 of the family's 1533-position model. The record is from RNAcentral.